UGGCUCAUAAUUAAUAUCCAGAUUGGUUUAAUCAAUGGGUUAUUAUAAAUAUCCCAAUCUCCUGUUCGAUAUUGAUAGUGUAAAGGAAACAAAAUGAUGCUUGUUUUAAAAAAAAUCUGACUACUUUAGAGAAAGACCACCUUUGCAUGCCAAAGAAGCCAAUGACCAAGCAGGAGAAUUAGAUUCAUCGCCUCUUUUUUUCUCAGCAGCACCACAUUAAAGGCUAUUGUGUCAGAUGUUAAUCGCUCGAGCCUGAUGGAAGACACUGCGGCUGUGCAGAGAGGACCUCAAGCACGGGAGGGACUGACAGACACGACGAGGCAUUAAAGGCGGUAGAUUAAUCCUGAUCUCCGAGGAGCAAUUCCACAGCCGGAUCGACUUGUUCCAGCAUUUAUCGAGCUGCAGAUCUGCGUGGAGGAGCCCCGAUGCCGUUAGACUGGGCGCUGGAGAGAGUUUCCGGAGCUCAGUGGUGUGGAGCAGCGGAUGGACGUCCCGUGGGUCUGCAGGUCUGAUACCCUCACUUCUGCCUGCAGUCUGUCGAAGGGCCAGCGAAUCCCCGGAGAUGCUCCUUCACCACUGAUGUUGGGCAGGAUG
This is a long non-coding RNA of Brienomyrus brachyistius, 594 nucleotides long. RefSeq lists it as uncharacterized. The record is from RefSeq and is a predicted model, not a curated record. Lineage: Eukaryota; Metazoa; Chordata; Actinopteri; Osteoglossiformes; Mormyridae. The transcript has 4 exons.